CCUACGGGAGGCUGCAGUGGGGAAUAUUGGACAAUGGGCGAAAGCCUGAUCCAGCCAUGCCGCGUGUGUGAAGAAGGCCUUCGGGUUGUAAAGCACUUUCAGUGGGGAAGAAAGCCUUGGGGCUAAUACCCUCGAGGAAGGACAUCACCCACAGAAGAAGCACCGGCUAACUCCGUGCCAGCAGCCGCGGUAAUACGGAGGGUGCGAGCGUUAAUCGGAAUUACUGGGCGUAAAGCGCGCGUAGGCGGUCUGAUAAGCCGGUUGUGAAAGCCCCGGGCUCAACCUGGGAACGGCAUCCGGAACUGUCAGGCUAGAGUGCAGGAGAGGAAGGUAGAAUUCCCGGUGUAGCGGUGAAAUGCGUAGAGAUCGGGAGGAAUACCAGUGGCGAAGGCGGCCUUCUGGACUGACACUGACGCUGAGGUGCGAAAGCGUGGGUAGCAAACAGGAUUAGAUACCCUUGUAGUC
RNAcentral lists this ribosomal RNA (465 nucleotides) under Vreelandella stevensii. Its description in RNAcentral is "partial 16S ribosomal RNA". It matches the Rfam family "Bacterial small subunit ribosomal RNA", at positions 338 to 795 of the family's 1533-position model. Lineage: Bacteria; Pseudomonadati; Pseudomonadota; Gammaproteobacteria; Oceanospirillales; Halomonadaceae. The record is from RNAcentral.